Anguilla anguilla (European eel) is the source of this 371-nucleotide long non-coding RNA. RefSeq lists it as uncharacterized. The transcript has 3 exons. Lineage: Eukaryota; Metazoa; Chordata; Actinopteri; Anguilliformes; Anguillidae. The record is from RefSeq and is a predicted model, not a curated record.
CUGAGAGAAGAGGAUUCUGGGGAAUAUCUCUUUAAGCGUAUCAGACUAUCUGGGCCCCUUCGGCCAAAAACGAUACAACUACACAUUUAUGAGAGGAUUGUUUCUGUGCAGGUAACCUCCCAGGUGAAUAACAGCACAGACGGCAGCAGCUGUAACGUGACCCUGAGUUGCAGUGUGAUUGGAGGCAGCCAGGUGGUGCUGUCCUGGAGCAGAAAUGGAGAGAACAUUGCUGGAGCGGAGAACAGAACUACGCUGACUGUAUCCCCCACUCGUGCAGAAGAGGACUACACCUGUACGGCCAUUAACCCCAUCAGCUCACUAAGCAACACAACCAGGCCCUGCCAAACAGGUCAGUCUCUGAUUAGCUCAGA